CACAGCUGUUUGCCCUGGGAGGAAGAGGACGCGACAGGGCAAAGGGAGGCGUGCGGGCUGUUUACCUGCUCUUUUCCUUGGGCCUCUGGGGUACAGAAUAGGGUGUUUGUAAGUCUACUGCCUGCUCCUUAGACCGUACUGGUUUAGAGCUUGCGUUUUCCUGCUCGUGGGGUGGAGUGCAUUCCUGACGUCCCAGGGCUUUUAACUCUUUGAGGAAGGUGGGAUGAGGGACUUUGGGGAGGGGCGUGACGUACGUGCUGUAAAAUAGAGCAGAACUUGCCGUAGGGGGAGGAUGGCCAGGUCUUCCCAGUGUGAGCUGAGCUGAUCUCCGAGGUACCGUCCUGGACCUGCCUCUGCCGCUGUCCUCUGUCUGUGGCCCCUUCCAGUACUCUGGUGGCUGAGACAUGGUCAAGCAGAUGCCCCUGCAGGAAGGAGCCCGAAUCAGGAGGUCCGGAUGCUUUUCUUUCUUCAUCAUUGAGGCUGAAAGGUCCAGAAAGGAGCUGGGAAGUUGAGGAUGAAGCCAUCAGCUGGUGUAAUGUCUGGGAAAGGCUUGAUCUCUGCUUCAGGAUGAUGCCUUGUUUCUCUGUCCUCACAUGGAACAAAGUAGGAGGACAAAGAAGUUGUGUCCCCCAUUGGAAAAGGGACAAGAAGACCAAAAAAGACUAAGAGAUCCCAUUUAAUGUCUUUUAUAAGAGCAUUAAUUCCAUGCACAAAGGCAAAGGCCUCAAGGCCUAAUCAUGUCCCAAGGGACCCACCUCUUAAUAUCAUCCACUUGGGGGAGCUGAAUUCCUAUAGAUGCAUUUUGGAAGAACACAGCCAUGCCAACUCCAGUACCUAACAACAUACAAGAAUGAGGAGAGUGGUUCUAAUUUCUGAUUUCCACUAGUUGAUAUAAAUGUGAAGGAUUCCUUAACUAUGAGAAAGGAGAGAAAUAGAUUCAGAAG
This 944-nucleotide long non-coding RNA is filed under the name Heterocephalus glaber (naked mole-rat). Its description in RNAcentral is "lncRNA (ENSHGLG00100052364.1)". Lineage: Eukaryota; Metazoa; Chordata; Mammalia; Rodentia; Bathyergidae. The record is from RNAcentral.